Long non-coding RNA from Centrocercus urophasianus (Greater sage-grouse), 3258 nucleotides. RefSeq lists it as uncharacterized. The record is from RefSeq and is a predicted model, not a curated record. NCBI's taxonomy places the organism in Eukaryota, Metazoa, Chordata, Aves, Galliformes, Phasianidae. The transcript has 8 exons.
AAGCAGAGCGCAGGGAGCGUCUGUGGUGAGAUGCUCAGGUGAAAUUGCCUUCCCUGCACCAGCAGCCUGUUUGUGUCCACGUGAUGCAUGGUGAGGAGAAGCCUGCAGUUCUUGUGACAUACCUGGCCCGUCAGAUAAUUCAGCAGGGAGUGGUGCCUUCUUGCGAAGCUGUGGCAGUGUCCACAGGCCAGCCCCUGAAGCCCCAGUCAUCAAGACCCCGUACGUCAUGUCCAACGCCAUCUGUCUGAGCUGCCCCUGAUAGCUGAGGCUACCUCAUGUCCCCUCAAACUGCCAGGCAUCCAAGCUUCUCCUCCUCUACCAGCUCUCCACUGACUCCAACACCUUUGCCACCUCCCGUGUGGUGUGGUGGCAAUGCAUGGUGCUGGAUCAGGCCCAGACUCCCACCCUGACAGCAGGCCCGUUUCCAAAAGCUCUGCUCACUUCCUCAUCCUGCUGGCUCGUGAGAAGAUCCUGUUGUCAGCUCUGCCAACCAGCACAGCAGAGGUGGGAUUGUUGUGGGCAGCCUGGAAAACAGCAGGGGAAUAACCAUUUCCCCCUUUGGCUGUUAUCUGUUGAGAAAUGCUGUCUGGUGAGUGUUGAGUCAGGGCCUGAACCACUGAUGGAGCAUCUGGGGAAAGGACCCAGUCAGCCCUGGGAGCACAGGUGAGGGCAGUUCAGUUGUAUGAUGGAAUGAGGGGAGCCUGGCUGCACCUCUCCUAGACCUCAUUGAAGGGCUGACUGUGCAUGGGCAAGGAUCUCUGGUUGGAGAUCCCUCCCUUGUGGAGUUUUCCCUGUGAGCCUGGAUCUUCAGGGACAGGUGAGCACUUUGUCUUUGUAACACCAUCUGUUGUGCCAGUCCCUUUGUGGUUACACCUCCUUCCACUGCACUGAUCAUUCUGGUUGUUAGAGACGUCCUCUGCCCCUUCCCACCUGUAAAGCAAACAAGGCGAUGACAGAGCCUUGAUUUGAGAUAGAGGAGCUAUAGAACAGGAUAUCAAAGAAAGAGGAAUCGACUCAUCCCUCCCAGCUACAGUUUGGCAGAAAGCGGUGAGCUGAGGAAUGCAGCCUUCUGCGUUUGAACUGCGGUGUGCUGAAAGGAGGCAUUGUGCUUCCCAAGCAGUGCGUGGACCUUUCUGAUGGCAGUGAGCAGCAAGGAGCCGACUGGGUCUCAGCUUCCUUCCUGCCCUGCACUUGACUGAGGGACCUUGCGACCAGCUCAGAGAUCACAUCCCAGGUGCUGUCUGUCUGCCUGUGGUUCACAGAUUGGUGCCUGCUUGCUCUGAAGUUGGCUCUUGGGAUGCGGUGAUUCAGUGUCUCACUGACAGUGCGACAAGUAGGACCUGGUUCUAGCAGGAGAUUGGGCCAACAGAAAACAGCUGAUCCAGGAGCUCAGCUGGAUCCAGGCUGACCUGCUGCUUAUGGCCACCGUUGCUGUUUCACCAGUAGAACCCAAGAUGGACGGAAUCUCAAGCAGGCAGCUUGAGGAAGCCUGAGCCUGAAGGCCUGAAGCUUCAGAGAGGUGACUUCACUGCAUGAAGGCAGCACCAGGAGAGAAACAGCAGGAAACGUCUGAGUGCAGACUCAUCUCUAACACUGCAGCAAUAGGUUAGAUUUGGGAUCAGAGUGUUUUGCAGAGCUCCUGGUAGGAGUUGCUCUCUGGAGCCACAGCUCUGCAGUUAUUUGCCUUCUGGAGAUACAUAUUUAUUUGGAUUAACUUCACUGGAAGCCUAGACAGUGCUAGCUGAGUCUUGGCUAGCUGACUGUUGGAUGUGUGAAACGAGGUGGCAUAAAUUUGCCCUCACAGCUGUAAGUAGUGAGGUGAGAGUUAAACUCACCAUGGGGAAAGGCAAAGAUGGGAAUGCCUGCCCAAAACCAGCCUGGAAUUUGAGUGUGGUGAGCACAUCCCUCAUGCUAGUGACUCUAAACGCAGCGGUUGCUUUGAUUUACUAUUUGUUUGUCACAGUAAUGAUCCUUGUAGGAUCAGUUAUGAUCCAGGGCACUGCCUGCUCUGCACAAUAUGAGGAGUUGGACUCCAUGCACGCAACCAGGUGGUUGCAUCCAAGACGGAGUUGGGGGUUAAAAUGAUGCUGUUCUGUGUUGUCUGAGAUAGCAGAGAAAAUGCAGUAAGUAACAGCCUGCUUGCUGGAGCAAAGUGCUGCAAGGCACAGACACAUGGCUGGUGCUGGGUAUGUGUGCAAGCUGGAGAGAGAGCAGUGGUGCUGGAGUCGUGGGAGUGGGGGUCUCAUCAAACUUGCACAGCAGUUGCCUGGUAGAUGAUAUUUUUUUAUUCCUUCUGGUAUUACUUUGGUACACAGGACUCCCAGCCAGAAUCAGAGCUCUGAGGUCUGUUUUGAACUUUGUUAAUACAAAACUCUCUCACUUCCUUGCUUUCUUAGCUGGUAUGGACAGACCAAACUAACCAACCCCACUGGAGCCCUAACGCUCCUUUUGCAGCUACUUCAGACCUCUGCCAUCUCCCAUUGCUUGUUUCUGUUCUGGUGAUUUGGUCUGCAGACUUCAACGAGCUUGCAGUGCUGCUGUUGUUGCUGUUGUUUUUAAAGAGGAAAUGCCCAAAGGGUUCCGGUCUGAAAAGGACUCAUGCUUGCACUGUGACCAGGAGCAGCUCAGGGGUGUUCCUCGUUCUCACUUGGCCCCAAGUAUGAGAUGCACUGGGAUAGGGCUGCGUGCUGUGGAGAAGGCUGCACUGCUGUCAGUUGAGCCCAGAGUCUGCGUUGCUCUUGGUGCACGUUGGCGUCAAGCCUGUGUAGAACAUCGCUGCCCUCGGCUGGAAGGACUGACAGUCCUGGAAUCACAUCUCGUGGCUCACAAAGGACCCCAGCCUCCAGGUGCUCUGCUGCCAUGGCACGGCGGCCUGUCCUGUUGUCCCUAGAGGCUGGUUUGUGCCUGGUGCACGGUGCACUCAGACUCACGCGAGCCUUCCAUCAAGGGGGCAGUUGUUACUCUGGGAGCAGUUCCAGCCUGGGCUUCUGCUGGAGCUCCGUGGCGUUGCUUUCUCAGGUUGGUGGAGAAGUGGACUUCCCCAGUGAGAAGUACAAUUUCAGAAAGGGGCACAUGCAGAGAACCCAGAGGGAAAGCAAGGCAAACCUCACAAUGACUGCCACAAAACAAGUGCUACAAAGAGAGAAUUCACUGCCAGAAAUAGCUGACAGUCCAGUGAUAAAGGACUCCCUUCCCUUCCCUUCCCUUCCCUUCCCUUCCCUUCCCUUCCCUUCCCUUCCCUUCCCUUCCCUUCCCUUC